Molecule: ribosomal RNA, 781 nt
Filed under: Mycobacterium avium
Lineage: Bacteria; Bacillati; Actinomycetota; Actinomycetes; Mycobacteriales; Mycobacteriaceae
Description: bacterial SSU rRNA
Rfam family: Bacterial small subunit ribosomal RNA
Source: RNAcentral
GAAAGGCCUCUUCGGAGGUACUCGAGUGGCGAACGGGUGAGUAACACGUGGGCAAUCUGCCCUGCACUUCGGGAUAAGCCUGGGAAACUGGGUCUAAUACCGGAUAGGACCUCAAGACGCAUGUCUUCUGGUGGAAAGCUUUUGCGGUGUGGGAUGGGCCCGCGGCCUAUCAGCUUGUUGGUGGGGUGACGGCCUACCAAGGCGACGACGGGUAGCCGGCCUGAGAGGGUGUCCGGCCACACUGGGACUGAGAUACGGCCCAGACUCCUACGGGAGGCAGCAGUGGGGAAUAUUGCACAAUGGGCGCAAGCCUGAUGCAGCGACGCCGCGUGGGGGAUGACGGCCUUCGGGUUGUAAACCUCUUUCACCAUCGACGAAGGUCCGGGUUUUCUCGGAUUGACGGUAGGUGGAGAAGAAGCACCGGCCAACUACGUGCCAGCAGCCGCGGUAAUACGUAGGGUGCGAGCGUUGUCCGGAAUUACUGGGCGUAAAGAGCUCGUAGGUGGUUUGUCGCGUUGUUCGUGAAAUCUCACGGCUUAACUGUGAGCGUGCGGGCGAUACGGGCAGACUAGAGUACUGCAGGGGAGACUGGAAUUCCUGGUGUAGCGGUGGAAUGCGCAGAUAUCAGGAGGAACACCGGUGGCGAAGGCGGGUCUCUGGGCAGUAACUGACGCUGAGGAGCGAAAGCGUGGGGAGCGAACAGGAUUAGAUACCCUGGUAGUCCACGCCGUAACGGUGGGUACUAGGUGUGGGUUUCCUUCCUUGGGAUCCGUGCCGUAGC